GUAAAAUGUUUCUGAUUUUUCUGGGAGAAAGUACAUCCAUGCCUUUCUAGAAAAAUCAUCUAUAAAACAUAGCAAGUACCUUUUUCCGCUGCUUGAAGGCGGUGUAAUAGGACCACAUAGAUCCGCAUGAACAAGACCCAAUUUUUCAGUUGCUCUCCACUGACUUCUUUUUGGAAUGGGAGUCCGAUGUUGUUUGCCGUUCAUACAUGCUUCGCAAGUGAUGCUUGGAUCAACAAUUUGCGGCAAACCUUCCACCAUGUUUUUAUGUUGCAAGAUACGAAGGCCUUUGUAGCUGAGAUGGCCAUAACGAUAGUGCCAGAGUAUUGACUGAUCCGAAUUUGAAACUUGGAGGCAUCUCCCUUCAUGUGUUGUGAUUGAUGACUCUGCAAGCAAAAUGAACAUCCGAUUUGCACUCAUAAUUGAUUCUGCCAUUUUCCCUUUUUGUGGAUGAUAAAUACUGCAUACUCCAUUUUUGAACAGCACUGCUACUCCCUUUUCUUGA
This 502-nucleotide unclassified non-coding RNA is filed under the name Hevea brasiliensis (rubber tree). Lineage: Eukaryota; Viridiplantae; Streptophyta; Magnoliopsida; Malpighiales; Euphorbiaceae. The record is from RNAcentral.